UAACGCUGAGGUGUGAUGACGAGGCACUACGGUGCUGAAGUGACAAAUGCCCUGCUUCCAGGAAAAGCCUCUAAGCAUCAGGUAACAUCAAAUCGUACCCCAAACCGACACAGGUGGUCAGGUAGAGAAUACCAAGGCGCUUGAGAGAACUCGGGUGAAGGAACUAGGCAAAAUGGUGCCGUAACUUCGGGAGAAGGCACGCUGAUGGUAGGUGAAGUGACUUGCUCAUGGAGCUGAAAUCAGUCGAAGAUACCAGCUGGCUGCAACUGUUUAUUAAAAACACAGCACUGUGCAAACACGAAAGUGGACGUAUACGGUGUGACGCCUGCCCGGUGCCGGAAGGUUAAUUGAUGGGGUUAUCCGUAAGGAGAAGCUCUUGAUCGAAGCCCCGGUAAACGGCGGCCGUAACUAUAACGGUCCUAAGGUAGCGAAAUUCCUUGUCGGGUAAGUUCCGACCUGCACGAAUGGCGUAAUGAUGGCCAGGCUGUCUCCACCCGAGACUCAGUGAAAUUGAACUCGCUGUGAAGAUGCAGUGUACCCGCGGCAAGACGGAAAGACCCCGUGAACCUUUACUAUAGCUUGACACUGAACACUGGUCCUUGAUGUGUAGGAUAGGUGGGAGGCUUUGAAGUGUGGACGCCAGUCUGCAUGGAGCCAUCCUUGAAAUACCACCCUUUAAUGGCUGGUGUUCUAACGUGGGCCCGUAAUCCGGGUUGCGGACAGUGUCUGGUGGGUAGUUUGACUGGGGCGGUCUCCUCCUAAAGAGUAACGGAGGAGCACGAAGGUCAGCUAAUCCUGGUCGGACAUCAGGAGGUUAGUGCAAUGGCAUAAGCUGGCUUGACUGCGAGCGUGACGGCGCGAGCAGGUGCGAAAGCAGGUCAUAGUGAUCCGGUGGUUCUGAAUGGAAGGGCCAUCGCUCAACGGAUAAAAGGUACUCCGGGGAUAACAGGCUGAUACCGCCCAAGAGUUCAUAUCGACGGCGGUGUUUGGCACCUCGAUGUCGGCUCAUCACAUCCUGGGGCUGAAGUAGGUCCCAAGGGUAUGGCUGUUCGCCAUUUAAAGUGGUACGCGAGCUGGGUUUAGAACGUCGUGAGACAGUUCGGUCCCUAUCUGCCGUGGGCGCUGGAGAAUUGAGGGGGGCUGCUCCUAGUACGAGAGGACCGGAGUGGACGCAUCACUGGUGUUCGGGUUGUCAUGCCAAUGGCAUUGCCCGGUAGCUAAAUGCGGAAGAGAUAAGUGCUGAAAGCAUCUAAGCACGAAACUUGCCCCGAGAUGAGUUCUCCCUGACUCCUUGAGAGUCCUGAAGGAACGUUGAAGACGACGACGUUGAUAGGCCGGGUGUGUAAGCGCAGCGAUGCGUUGAGCUAACCGGUACUAAUGAACCGUGAGGCUUAACCUU
Molecule: ribosomal RNA, 1399 nt
Filed under: Klebsiella michiganensis
Lineage: Bacteria; Pseudomonadati; Pseudomonadota; Gammaproteobacteria; Enterobacterales; Enterobacteriaceae
Description: partial 23S ribosomal RNA
Rfam family: Bacterial large subunit ribosomal RNA
Source: RNAcentral